RNAcentral lists this ribosomal RNA (685 nucleotides) under Streptomyces sp. CV2_10. Its description in RNAcentral is "bacterial SSU rRNA". It matches the Rfam family "Bacterial small subunit ribosomal RNA", at positions 98 to 797 of the family's 1533-position model. Lineage: Bacteria; Bacillati; Actinomycetota; Actinomycetes; Kitasatosporales; Streptomycetaceae. The record is from RNAcentral. RNAcentral also lists the same sequence under 1 other name.
GCGAACGGGUGAGUAACACGUGGGCAAUCUGCCCUUCACUCUGGGACAAGCCCUGGAAACGGGGUCUAAUACCGGAUAAUACUUUCCCUCUCAUGGGGGAAGGUUAAAAGCUCCGGCGGUGAAGGAUGAGCCCGCGGCCUAUCAGCUAGUUGGUGGGGUAAUGGCCUACCAAGGCGACGACGGGUAGCCGGCCUGAGAGGGCGACCGGCCACACUGGGACUGAGACACGGCCCAGACUCCUACGGGAGGCAGCAGUGGGGAAUAUUGCACAAUGGGCGAAAGCCUGAUGCAGCGACGCCGCGUGAGGGAUGACGGCCUUCGGGUUGUAAACCUCUUUCAGCAGGGAAGAAGCGAAAGUGACGGUACCUGCAGAAGAAGCGCCGGCUAACUACGUGCCAGCAGCCGCGGUAAUACGUAGGGCGCAAGCGUUGUCCGGAAUUAUUGGGCGUAAAGAGCUCGUAGGCGGCUUGUUGCGUCGGUUGUGAAAGCCCGGGGCUUAACCCCGGGUCUGCAGUCGAUACGGGCAGGCUAGAGUGUGGUAGGGGAGAUCGGAAUUCCUGGUGUAGCGGUGAAAUGCGCAGAUAUCAGGAGGAACACCGGUGGCGAAGGCGGAUCUCUGGGCCAUUACUGACGCUGAGGAGCGAAAGCGUGGGGAGCGAACAGGAUUAGAUACCCUGGUAGUCCA